RNAcentral lists this long non-coding RNA (1104 nucleotides) under Coturnix japonica (Japanese quail). Its description in RNAcentral is "lncRNA (ENSCJPG00005012235.1)". The record is from RNAcentral. Lineage: Eukaryota; Metazoa; Chordata; Aves; Galliformes; Phasianidae.
AUGGACGCGCACACCUGCACGCUCGUGCAAACGCUCCCGCAGCGCAGCCCGUGCCACGCACACACUCCUGGCAGCAGCGCUGGGUGCAGCCUCAGCCCUCGCUGCUCACCGACACACGCCGUGCCGGCACGCCCGCUGUGUGUGCACCGAUGCACGCACGCUCUGCCCGCACGGCCGUGCCCUCCGCCUCCCUCCACGAGCCGCCGCACCCGGUGCCCUGGCCAUGCCGUUGCCAUACCGUGGCCGUGCCCCCCUGGUGCCGCCCGCUGGUCACACCCCGAGGGCAGCUGCGGUGUCCAGAGCCCGGGGGGGGUUGCGGGGGUGGCCCUCGCUCAGCUGCAGCCCAGAUGUCUGGCGCGGGCCCAGGCUGCAGCAAACAAAAUUCCUGCGCUGCCUCCCAUUUUCCAGCCUCUGCUGCCAAGAAUAGCAAGUGCCGAGAGGUGCCGGCAGCGGCUGUGCCGGGGGGGCCGUGCAGGGACGCUGCCAGGGCCACCCCGCUCUCGUCCCGGCGGCAGCGGGUGGGUGCUGGCCGCGCUCCACGGGGACGAGGGCGCCGCGUCACGGGUCGCUGCGUCGCAAGACUUUGCCCGAGGAGCCGCGGGACGCUCAGCGCGGCUCAGCACGGCUCAACACGGCGUCCCCGUGUCCAGCCGCGGCGGUGGGACAUGUCCACCCCCUGGGCAUCCAUCCCUGUGCCGGUCCCCGGCCGGGGCGCGUCCCCCGCUUCCAGCGGCAGGACGUGGCGCGGUGGCAGCCCGCAGCCGGUGCCAGCGGCUCGUCAGGCCCCGCCGGCAGCGGCCCCACCUGCAGAAGCCAUCAGGCGUCCCAGGGCCGCGGCCGCGUCCCGGAAAAACAGCGCCAAAGCUGCCAGGGCCGGGCGAGCCCAAAGGGGGGAGGGGGUGCCACGUUGCCGCUGCCCCCUCCCCCCACCCCGUAACCGGGACGGUUGAGCCGGUGAUGGGGUCACGGGAUGGGAUGGUGUGUCCCUGGAUCUCUCCUCCCGUCCCCAGGAAUGCGGGAAUGCAUCGAUUUUCCGCCCCGCUGCUCCUCGGCACAGUUCUGUCUCCGAUCCCCGGGCAGACCCCGGCGAUGCUCUUUGUCUGA